UCUUCCUACGGGGCGCAGCAGUGGGGAAUAUUGGGCAAUGGACGCAAGUCUGACCCAGCAACGCCGCGUGAAGGAAGAAGGCUUUCGGGUUGUAAACUUCUUUUAAGGGGGAAGAGCAGAAGACGAUACCCCUUGAAUAAGCCACGGCUAACUACGUGCCAGCAGCCGCGGUAAUACGUAGGUGGCAAGCGUUGUCCGGAUUUACUGGGUGUAAAGGGCGUGCAGCCGGAGAGACAAGUCAGAUGUGAAAUCCACGCGCUCAACCCGUGAACUGCAUUUGCAACUGUUUCCCUUUAUUGUCGGCG
Molecule: ribosomal RNA, 305 nt
Filed under: uncultured bacterium
Lineage: Bacteria
Description: bacterial SSU rRNA
Rfam family: Bacterial small subunit ribosomal RNA
Source: RNAcentral